UGGUUAAAAAGCUCGUAGUUGGAUCUCGGCGGACUGAGGGCGGUUUGCUUGCUAGUAUUACUGCCCUAUAGUCCGUAGUUUUGCCAGAGGUUUCGGGGUGCUCUUAAUCGAGUGUCCCGGGAUGCCGGCAGGUUUACUUUGAAAAAAUUAGAGUGCUCAAAGCAGGCUAUUACGCCUGAAUAUUCGUGCAUGGAAUAAUAGAAUAGGAAGUCGUUUCUAUUUUGUUGGUUUUCGGAAAUCGACUUAAUGAUUAAUAGGGACAGUCGGGGGCAUUUGUAUUCAAACGACAGAGGUGAAAUUCUUGGACCGUUUGAAGACAAACUACUGCGAAAGCAUUUGCCAAGAAUGUUUUCAUUAAUCAAGAACGAAAGUUAAAGGUUCGAAGGCGAUUAGAUACCGCCCUAGUUUUAACCAUAAACGAUGCCAGCUAGCGAUCUGCGGACGUUUUUUUUGUAGACUCCGCAGGAAGCUUCCGGGAAACCAAAGCAUUUGGGUUCCAGGGGAAGUAUGGUUGCAAAGCUGAAACUUAAAGGAAUUGACGGAGGGGCACCACCAGGAGUGGAGCCAGUGGCUUAAUUUGACUCAACACGGGAAAUCUCACCAGGCCCGGACACUGGAAGGAUUGACAGAUUGAUAGCUCUUUCUUGAUUCGGUGGGUGGUGGUGCAUGGCCGU
RNAcentral lists this ribosomal RNA (674 nucleotides) under uncultured marine eukaryote. Its description in RNAcentral is "SSU rRNA". It matches the Rfam family "Eukaryotic small subunit ribosomal RNA", at positions 616 to 1291 of the family's 1831-position model. The record is from RNAcentral.